GUGUGAGCGAACCCGGGAUGAGUGGACCUGCUUCGCGAUGAGGGCGUUAAGGACUGGCUGGUCCAGCGAAGCCCGUAGACUCCAUUUAUUUUUCAGGCUCCCUCUGUACGUGGGAAGACUGGAGGGAGAAGAAAGCCAGGUCCCGGGCCAGUUGGUCCUCAAAUUCCUUUCUUCGUCUGGCUCUGUUUUGCAGACGAAUGAACUCCACUGCCAGUUGGUGCAUUGCCAGCGUGGGACAGCGGAGAGAAACUGAAGUCUGAGAGGAAGUGGCUAGACAUGCUCUGCUCCAUCUCCCUGAGGGCGGUGCCUUGAUUGGCAGCAGUUGUGUUUCUUAAUGGCACUCCAGCUCCGGAAAGGUGACCUGGCCCCUGUGCUCUGACAGUGCUGCCUCUGCCUUUUGUCCCUUCAGGCUGAGAUGGGGGAACUAGUGGUUGGCCAUUGUUGCUAGCCUCUGGAUGGCCUGGCUGUCCUGUUGGGCCUCUUAGUUUUUCAUCUCCUGUGUAACCAUUCCCCCACCAUAAAGUCCUGCUGUUUUAAAAAUUCAGGUGGUUUUUCAUAUGCUAUCAUUUUUAUGUGGGACAUUAAAAAAAAACAAAUGAAUAAACAAAGAAAAAGCAGAAACAGACUCAUAAAUACAGAGAACCAGCUGAUGGUGGGCAAAGGGGAAGGGGGGGAUGGGUAAAACAGGUGAAGGGGAGUGGGAGAUAUAGGCUUCCAGUUAUGGAAUGAGUAAGGCAAGGGGCUAAAUGCACAGCAUAGUCCAUGGUACUAUAAUAUAGUCCAUGGUAUUGUAAUAGUAUUGUAUGGUAACUGACGGUAGCUACUACACUUGGGGUGAGCGUCGCAUAACAGAGAGAGUUGUUGAAUCACUAUGCUGUACACCCGAAACUGAUGAAACAUUGUGUGCCAACUCUAUUUCAAUUUAAAAAAAUAAAUAAAUAAUUCAGGUAGUUUUUGUUUUCCUGAUUGGAUCUUGACAUUUACCCAAAACACUUUAUACUUCAUUAUAAAGAUCUGUGCACUUGUGAUUAUAUAUUUAAUAAAUAUACUUCAUGCACUUGUGAGUGUAUAUUUAAUAAAUGUCUCCUUAGCCAAACUCUAUGUUUCAUGAGGGCAGAGACCAUGCCUGUCUCCUUCACCCCUGUAUUACAGUAAUUGCCAGGUGAGAGGUAUUUAAUACUUAUUUGUGGGAUGAAUGAAUGGAUGAAUAAGAUGAGUCGUAAAGUUUUUCUUUCCUCAAAGCUCCUGUCACCUCCUCACUUCUUAUUCUUGCCCUGAAAUAACAAGGUAAAAUAACAACAAAACAAGCUAGUUCUUCUGUACUUACUGACACAUCCUCAUGUCAUUCAGGAAAAGUCAACUCACCCACAAAAAUCAAGUAACAUUUGCCCAAAUGAUUAAAAUAAAAGUGGAACACUUUUAAGUACCAAAGAACAAAAGAAAAACUUUGUGAAACCAACUUGAGAAGCCGAUUGUGGGGAGUUAAACCUGAUGUGGCUUUAUAGAACCAGAGAAAACCAAGUGAGCACUAAACCAGCUUUAUUUUAACUGGAAACUUGUUCUUUUCUGUCAUCUUUUUCUGCCAAAUGGUUUGAAUUUGAGUGAAUCAUACCAAUGACUCAAAUGUUUUGGAAGGCAUUACUAUUUAUCAAAGUCAGUAGGAGAGAAGGGAGAAUUUAUUUUGAGAUUUCAGAAAUCUUAAAAGAUGUAUUAAUUUGUAAGCGUGCAAAGUCAUGUGUGCACUCUCUAGAAGUCACAAUUUGGACCUGCUCCCGUAGAUUUUUCAGAUCUGUUUUCAUGGAAGCAGAGCCAGCUGUGUAUCUUCCUGACUUUUAUGGACUACCUUCUAGCCUUCUUUCUUUUCCUUCUUUAUGAGGACAGCAAGAGGGCCACAUGGCAAGGGUGGGGAGGGGGAAGGAGGGAGUUAUGAGUUCAGUCUUUUGCUUGCCAUGGUUUUGAGAAAAUAAUUCAAUUCCUGCAAAAAGAAAGUGGAAGAAAGUGAUACUUCAAUACUUGAAGGAGGCCAAAAUCAUUUAGCCAGCACCAAAAAACAAUGAGCUGAAAAUGAUCUCUUUGUGUAACGAAAUUGCCCAAUAUUAAAUAUUUUUCUGGAAUCCAAAUUCUCUUAUGUAAUGUGUCUUAAAUGCUACUCUGGAGUGUUCUUAUGAUCAGCUUAAGGGACAGAGAACUUCCAGCUCUUCUAAUUUAAAUACAAAAUUAAAAUAGGUGCACUACAUAUAGCCCAGAGAAUAGCAUACCCACAGCAUGGCAUAUACAAACAGCCUUGGUAUAUAGCCACAGUGGAUCCAUUUAAAACAGGAGGCAUGAGGCAAUGGAAGAAUGGCAAAACAAAUAUUUAAUAUUUUGUUGUUUAAGUUCCAUUUUUAAAGAAUUUCCACUACAUUUUAUCAUAAAACUCAAACAGACAAACAUGAACGGGUUUAAAGAAAAUUUCAGUCAUAUAAUAAUUGCUGGCUCUGCUUUAACUUCCAAAGCAAUCAAACAACUUUUGAAUCUCCAGAGCACAGUAGGCAAUGGCAAUUCAACUUUUUUGGCUGGUAUAUAUAUACAACACAUAGAAGGGGUUUAACAAAUAAGUAUCUUUCAGAUUAAGACAUGGUAAAUAUGUUACAGGAAAAAUUCUCACCAGUGGGUUCAUUAAGCUACAUGACAGCAACAAUCGAAGAUGUGGGCAUCUUUGUGAUCCCUUUUAUCUUGAAGAUUUCCCACAGAGUGGUUGUAAGGAUUAGGUGGAAUAAGGGUACUGUACACUGAAAGAAGUGUACAGAACUGUUAUGAGAAAACAAAGAGGCACCAGUCCCCCUUGCCUCAGAACCAUGAGCGAGAAAAAGGAGCACAGGUAAGGACAGCCUACAGUGUGUUGGGGGCAGGGGUACAAACAACAUUUGGGUCCACCAAUUAGAGAGUCUGUGUGAAGAUGACAAAUAUAGAACUUCUGAAUUCAUCUACACUUGUCAUUUCCAACUUACUUAUGGCCUUUGGACAUGAAAGACAAUGAUGUGAGGAAAACAUAAAUAACUUAAAAACUUUACAUACUGAAAUGGUUUAGGAAGACAAAGGACACAGUUAAACAGUGUGAAGAUUUCAGUCUACUAUCAACACAGAUUUUGAGAGCUCUUUAUUAGCACCAAAUAUUUCCUAAGAUUUGGGGAAAGUAUAUUUCUGUUCUAUAGAUUAGUUUUUUUGAACAUUCAAUAGACCUAGCUUUUUUUUUUUUUUUUUUUUUGCACAUAUUCCCCUGUGGAAGGCCUGCAGCACCCUAAGCAUUAGAAAAGGGAAAACAUGAGCUGUUCCUCCUUCAAAAGCAAUAACACUUGCUUCUUUUAAGGACCUGCUUCUCUGAUCUUCCCAUAUUUAGUAAAGCAAGGAAUAACAGAGGAAGAGGCAUUAAUAACACUGGCAGGUUUAUGUAGCAAUGCCUAAAGGUAAAAAAGAAAGAAAUUUGGAUAUAGUGUGCAUUUUAGCCAGAUCAGAGGAAACUUUCCAGAUGUUUUUUCUGGACUAUUUAAGUAGUUUUGUUUUGUUUUGUUUUUUAAUGUACUUCUGACAGUAGUGAAUAUUAAUUUCCAUCAUAUGGGACUUGUGACGUGAUCUGUUUCUGAUCUGUGUGGCAGGCUUGGGUUAUUCUUGCAUCCUCAAAUGGCUUCAGAUCAUGGGGUAAACGUUUUUCUUGCCCCUCUCUUGAGCACAGUGAUGGAGGGAAAGAAGUGUGCACUGCUUUAUUUCAAUGAAAUACAUGCCUUCCAUUUCCUCUUGUUUGAAUAGAAACACUUGGAACCAUCAUGCAAGAGUAUCCAGGUGGGAUUCAGAACGGAAUUCAGAGGAGCUCACCUCCUAGCUCAGAGCCAAAUAACUCAGCAGUAUUGUUGUAGUACGCAUCUGAUGCACUUUGGAAUUUUAAUCAGCUUUCUAGCUGUUCUUGCCAAGCCCAUGAUGUGAGAUUACUGAUUCAAAUGCUUUGCAAACUGCAUUUGCUACACCAGAUGCCUUUCAAAAGAAGACUGAUUUUCCACUGACCAAGAGCUUCAGAUGGAAAGGCUUCUUCCCUCUUUCUCACAUAAAGGAAUAGACCAGAAGGAAUAAUUUGUCGGAGAGAGAGAGACAGCAGGAGAGGGAACACAAGCAGGGGGAGCUGGAGAGGGAGAAGCAGGCUUCCCAAAGAGCAGGCAGCCCAAUGCGAUCUCAGAACCCCAGGAUCACGACCCCAGCCGAAGGCCCUUAAGUUCAUCAAGUAAACCGUAAAAUCAGCAAAGCCAUCCAUUCUCUCUUUUGCUUCGAAUGGACCAUAUACAAGAAUCUGUUUAGGCUAUGGAAUACAGAACACUGAAGAAAACACUUUGCUCGUUUGCAAGGAUAUCCGUGAUCACAAUGGUGCAUGUGUGCGGUUGGCAGGGGCAGAGGGAGAGAGAGAAUUUUAAGCAGGCCCCACGCCCUGCACAGAGCCCCACGCGGGACUCCAUCUCAGGACCCUGAGAUCAUGACCUGAGCUGAAAUCAAGAGUUGGACGCUCAACCAACGGAGCCACCCAGGCGCCCCUGAAGAUGAAACUUAAAAUAUCAGAUUGGAGGCGGCUAAGGCU
This is a long non-coding RNA of Mirounga angustirostris (Northern elephant seal), 4600 nucleotides long. RefSeq lists it as uncharacterized. The transcript has 8 exons. Lineage: Eukaryota; Metazoa; Chordata; Mammalia; Carnivora; Phocidae. The record is from RefSeq and is a predicted model, not a curated record.